Molecule: ribosomal RNA, 154 nt
Filed under: uncultured Inocybe
Lineage: Eukaryota; Fungi; Basidiomycota; Agaricomycetes; Agaricales; Cortinariaceae
Description: 5.8S ribosomal RNA
Rfam family: 5.8S ribosomal RNA
About the family: 5.8S ribosomal RNA (5.8S rRNA) is a component of the large subunit of the eukaryotic ribosome.
Source: RNAcentral
AACUUUCAGCAACGGAUCUCUUGGCUCUCGCAUCGAUGAAGAACGCAGCGAAAUGCGAUAAGUAAUGUGAAUUGCAGAAUUCAGUGAAUCAUCGAAUCUUUGAACGCACCUUGCGCUCCUUGGUAUUCCAARGAGCAUGCCUGUUUGAGUAUCA